Molecule: signal recognition particle RNA, 263 nt
Filed under: Clostridia bacterium
Lineage: Bacteria; Bacillati; Bacillota; Clostridia
Description: signal recognition particle sRNA large type
Rfam family: Bacterial large signal recognition particle RNA
About the family: The signal recognition particle (SRP) is a universally conserved ribonucleoprotein involved in the co-translational targeting of proteins to membranes. Archaeal SRP consists of a 7S RNA and homologues of the eukaryotic SRP19 and SRP54 proteins.
Source: RNAcentral
CUGCGAUAGACGGGGAGUUAGCGGUGCCCUGUAACUUGCAAUCCGCUAUAGCAAGGUUGAACGUCUUCCGAGGCUGAAGUUAUGGAAGGCUGGUUUCAAAAGCGAGCGUUGACGUUAAGGUCUUAUGCAACGGCAACCCGCGAACCGUGUCAGGAUAGGAAUAUAGCAGCACUAAACGGUAUAGUCGUGUGCCAUAAGGUUGCUUUGACCGAGCUUUAAUUUGAUUUUUCGCUUCGGUUUCGCUUAUCGGAGAAGAUUCGCAG